GGCGGACGGGUGAGUAAUGUAUAGUUAAUCUGCCCUUUAGAGGGGGAUAACAGUUGGAAACGACUGCUAAUACCCCAUACUCCUUUUAUCUUAAUGAUAAUUGGGAAACGUUUUUUCGCUAAAGGAUGAGACUAUAUGGUAUCAGGUAGUUGGUGGGGUAAGAGCCCACCAAGCCAAUGACGCCUAGCUGGUCUGAGAGGAUGAUCAGCCACACUGGAACUGAGACACGGUCCAGACUCCUACGGGAGGCAGCAGUGGGGAAUAUUGCACAAUGGAGGAAACUCUGAUGCAGCAACGCCGCGUGGAGGAUGACGCAUUUCGGUGUGUAAACUCCUUUUAUAUGGGAAGAUAAUGACGGUACCAUAUGAAUAAGCACCAGCUAACU
This 385-nucleotide ribosomal RNA is filed under the name uncultured Campylobacterota bacterium. RNAcentral describes it as "bacterial SSU rRNA". It matches the Rfam family "Bacterial small subunit ribosomal RNA", at positions 97 to 502 of the family's 1533-position model. Lineage: Bacteria; Pseudomonadati; Campylobacterota. The record is from RNAcentral.